Molecule: long non-coding RNA, 1007 nt
Organism: Cryptomeria japonica (Japanese cedar)
Lineage: Eukaryota; Viridiplantae; Streptophyta; Pinopsida; Cupressales; Cupressaceae
Exons: 3
Source: RefSeq, a predicted model, not a curated record
UUUUCUGUUACUGUUGGUUCUGAUUUGAGGAACAACAAUCCAAAAUGUGGCAAAAUGGAUCAGUUGAUCGUUGUUGUUGAUGAUCCAGAAGGCAAAUGAUGUUGAUUCUUUAGAAAAAAUAGCAUGGAAGUAGCUUUGUAAGCUGAGUAAAGGAGGGAUUGCAAAAUGGUGGUCACUAAGAAAACUAAAAAGGCUCACGAGAGCAUCAACAACAGGUGGCUCUUGUGAUGAAAAGUGGAAAAUAUACGCAUGCUCCAUUUUGUAUUGCAGGUGUUGUUUUGGAGGAUUGACUAACAGUUUGACAAGUGCUUUGAUGGGGAGUUAAGAUCAUUGACAGUGAUACUACUAUGCUUUUUUCAAAUUGAGAAGAUGGGGAAUGCUUUGCUAUGAUGUGUAUAGUGCAGUCAUGGAGAUCCAACAAUAAAAGUGAUGAAAAUGGAUGGGAAGAUUUUGAAGUAUGAAGGCCCAAUAUAUACAAAGGAGAUUCAAUGCAACUACCCAAAUGAUGCCAUCUUCCAUUCUGAUUCAUUCAUCGUUUUGGAGGGCAUUGCAGGCGUUUGGGGGGUAAUACGGAGUUAAGGGUAGGGGAGCUAUAUUAUUUGAUCUCUCAUCCUCCUACAAAUUCCCAUGAGUUUUUGGAUAGUAGCUCCUCUAAGACUCAGAAUUAGACCCACCAUAAGAGAUGCCUUCCUCGAUCUUUGUCUGCUUUAAGAGAUAAGAAGCCUUCCAUACAAAUCAUUCCUUCUCCAUCACAAGAUGGGGUGGUGAGAUUAAAGAUAAUGAUAUCUUAGAAAUAGCUUACUACUCUUAUGUCUGAAAGCACAAAUGCCAUGAAUAUGGUGGAGAGUAUCGUCACCCCACUUUUGAUAGAAAUAGAAGCAGGCAACCCACCAAAGACUUCUUAUUUUUCUUCUCCUGUUGUGGCUAUAAGUGGAGGUGGGGGUUAUUCAUGGAAGCCUGAACUGGAGACCAUUCUCGAAAUCAAAGUCACCUUGUAUGUUUUCCAC